RNAcentral lists this ribosomal RNA (493 nucleotides) under Polaribacter sp. Its description in RNAcentral is "bacterial SSU rRNA". It matches the Rfam family "Bacterial small subunit ribosomal RNA", at positions 31 to 531 of the family's 1533-position model. Lineage: Bacteria; Pseudomonadati; Bacteroidota; Flavobacteriia; Flavobacteriales; Flavobacteriaceae. The record is from RNAcentral.
UAGAACGCUAGCGGCAGGCUUAACACAUGCAAGUCGAGGGGUAACAUUGUGCUUGCACAGAUGACGACCGGCGCACGGGUGCGUAACGCGUAUAGAACCUACCUUUUACAGAGGGAUAGCCUUUAGAAAUGAAGAUUAAUACCUCAUAGUAUUGCGAUUUGGCAUCAGAUUGUAAUUAAAGAUUUAUUGGUAAAAGAUGGCUAUGCGUCCUAUUAGUUAGUUGGUAAGGUAACGGCUUACCAAGACAUCGAUAGGUAGGGGUCCUGAGAGGGAGAUCCCCCACACUGGUACUGAGACACGGACCAGACUCCUACGGGAGGCAGCAGUGAGGAAUAUUGGACAAUGGAGGAGACUCUGAUCCAGCCAUGCCGCGUGCAGGAAGACUGCCCUAUGGGUUGUAAACUGCUUUUAUACAGGAAGAAACACUAGUACGUGUACUAGCUUGACGGUACUGUAAGAAUAAGGACCGGCUAACUCCGUGCCAGCACGGGGG